UACAGAGGGUGCUAGCGUUGUUCGGAAUCAUUGGGCGUAAAGGGCGUGUAGGCGGUUUGCUAAGUCAUGUGUGAAAUCCCUCGGCUCAACCGGGGAACGACGCAUGAAACUGGCAAGCUAGAGUACCAAAGAGGGGGGUGGAAUUCCCGGUGUAGCGGUGAAAUGCGUAGAUAUCAGGAGGAACACCGAUGGCGAAGGCAGGUCUCUGGGCCACUACUGACGCUGAGAAGCGAAAGCAUGGGGAGCGAACAGG
This 253-nucleotide ribosomal RNA is filed under the name uncultured bacterium. RNAcentral's name for it is "partial 16S ribosomal RNA". It matches the Rfam family "Bacterial small subunit ribosomal RNA", at positions 524 to 776 of the family's 1533-position model. The record is from RNAcentral.